Long non-coding RNA from Limulus polyphemus (Atlantic horseshoe crab), 94 nucleotides. RefSeq lists it as uncharacterized. Lineage: Eukaryota; Metazoa; Arthropoda; Merostomata; Xiphosura; Limulidae. The record is from RefSeq and is a predicted model, not a curated record. The transcript has 3 exons.
AAACAAGAAGGAAUCCUCACCAGCCGCGGCACUUGAACUUCAUUUAGGCAGUAUUAGAGUAAAUUAAUCCAUGAGAACUUUUUUUCCCCAUUUU